GACGAACGCUGGCGGCGUGCCUAAUACAUGCAAGUCGAACGAACUCUGGUAUUGAUUGGUGCUUGCAUCAUGAUUUACAUUUGAGUGAGUGGCGAACUGGUGAGUAACACGUGGGAAACCUGCCCAGAAGCGGGGGAUAACACCUGGAAACAGAUGCUAAUACCGCAUAACAACUUGGACCGCAUGGUCCGAGUUUGAAAGAUGGCUUCGGCUAUCACUUUUGGAUGGUCCCGCGGCGUAUUAGCUAGAUGGUGAGGUAACGGCUCACCAUGGCAAUGAUACGUAGCCGACCUGAGAGGGUAAUCGGCCACAUUGGGACUGAGACACGGCCCAAACUCCUACGGGAGGCAGCAGUAGGGAAUCUUCCACAAUGGACGAAAGUCUGAUGGAGCAACGCCGCGUGAGUGAAGAAGGGUUUCGGCUCGUAAAACUCUGUUGUUAAAGAAGAACAUAUCUGAGAGUAACUGUUCAGGUAUUGACGGUAUUUAACCAGAAAGCCACGGCUAACUACGUGCCAGCAGCCGCGGUAAUACGUAGGUGGCAAGCGUUGUCCGGAUUUAUUGGGCGUAAAGCGAGCGCAGGCGGUUUUUUAAGUCUGAUGUGAAAGCCUUCGGCUCAACCGAAGAAGUGCAUCGGAAACUGGGAAACUUGAGUGCAGAAGAGGACAGUGGAACUCCAUGUGUAGCGGUGAAAUGCGUAGAUAUAUGGAAGAACACCAGUGGCGAAGGCGGCUGUCUGGUCUGUAACUGACGCUGAGGCUCGAAAGUAUGGGUAGCAAACAGGAUUAGAUACCCUGGUAGUCCAUACCGUAAACGAUGAAUGCUAAGUGUUGGAGGGUUUCCGCCCUUCAGUGCUGCAGCUAACGCAUUAAGCAUUCCGCCUGGGGAGUACGGCCGCAAGGCUGAAACUCAAAGGAAUUGACGGGGGCCCGCACAAGCGGUGGAGCAUGUGGUUUAAUUCGAAGCUACGCGAAGAACCUUACCAGGUCUUGACAUACUAUGCAAAUCUAAGAGAUUAGACGUUCCCUUCGGGGACAUGGAUACAGGCGGUGCAUGGUUGUCGUCAGCUCGUGUCGUGAGAUGUUGGGUUAAGUCCCGCAACGAGCGCAACCCUUAUUAUCAGUUGCCAGCAUUAAGUUGGGCACUCUGGUGAGACUGCCGGUGACAAACCGGAGGAAGGUGGGGAUGACGUCAAAUCAUCAUGCCCCUUAUGACCUGGGCUACACACGUGCUACAAUGGAUGGUACAACGAGUUGCGAACUCGCGAGAGUAAGCUAAUCUCUUAAAGCCAUUCUCAGUUCGGAUUGUAGGCUGCAACUCGCCUACAUGAAGUCGGAAUCGCUAGUAAUCGCGGAUCAGCAUGCCGCGGUGGAUACGUUCCCGGGCCUUGUACACACCGCCCGUCACACCAUGAGAGUUUGUAACACCCAAAGUCGGUGGGGUAACCUUUUAGGAACCAGCCGCCUAAGGUGGGACAGAUGAUUAGGGUG
RNAcentral lists this ribosomal RNA (1489 nucleotides) under Lactiplantibacillus plantarum. Its description in RNAcentral is "bacterial SSU rRNA". It matches the Rfam family "Bacterial small subunit ribosomal RNA". Lineage: Bacteria; Bacillati; Bacillota; Bacilli; Lactobacillales; Lactobacillaceae. The record is from RNAcentral.